Molecule: unclassified non-coding RNA, 372 nt
Filed under: uncultured bacterium
Lineage: Bacteria
Description: contains 16S-23S intergenic spacer region
Source: RNAcentral
UCCGGUUUGUCUCCGGCAGUCUCAUUAGAGUGCCCUUUCGUAGCAACUAAUGACAAGGGUUGCGCUCGUUGCGGGACUUAACCCAACAUCUCACGACACGAGCUGACGACAGCCAUGCACCACCUGUGACGGUCCAGCCGAACUGACACUGUGUUUCCACAGCUACGACCGCCAUGUCAAGCCCAGGUAAGGUUCUUCGCGUUGCGUCGAAUUAAACCACAUGCUCCGCUGCUUGUGCGGGCCCCCGUCAAUUCCUUUGAGUUUCAGCCUUGCGGCCGUACUCCCCAGGCGGGGUACUUACUGCGUUAGCGACGGCACCGAAGGGGUCGCUCCCCCCGACGCCUAGUACCCAUCGUUUACGGCGUGGACUAC